UGAGGAAUACAUCGGAAUCUACUUUUUCUUGGGGGAUAACGUACGGAAACUUACGCUAAUACCGCAAACAACCUACGGACUGAAAGCAGGGGAUCUUCAGACCUUGCUCGAUUGAAUGAGCCCAUGUCUGAUUAUCUAGUUGGCGGGGUAAAGGCCCACCACGGCGACGAUACGUACCUGGUCUCAGAGGAUGAUCACCCACACUGGAACUGAGACACGGUCCACACUCCUACAGGAGGCAGCAGUGGGGAAUAUUGGACAAUGGGCGCAAGCCUGAUCCAGCCAUACCGCGUGGGUGAAGAAGGCCUUCGGGUUGUAAAGCCCUUUUGUUGGGAAAGAAAUCCAGCUGGUUAAUACCCGGUUGGGAUGACGGUACCCAAAGAAUAGGCACCGGCUAACUUCGUGCCAGCAGCCGC
RNAcentral lists this ribosomal RNA (416 nucleotides) under uncultured Stenotrophomonas sp. Its description in RNAcentral is "bacterial SSU rRNA". It matches the Rfam family "Bacterial small subunit ribosomal RNA", at positions 107 to 518 of the family's 1533-position model. The record is from RNAcentral. Lineage: Bacteria; Pseudomonadati; Pseudomonadota; Gammaproteobacteria; Lysobacterales; Lysobacteraceae.